GGCAAAUCUGUGUGUGUGUGUCUCUCUCUCUCUCUCUCGCUCAUGGUCUUCGAACUGUUCUUUCGCCAGAACCGAACCCUAGCCUCCGUCCUCGUCUCUCGCCGCCUCCUCUCAUCCUCCUCUCCUUCCCUCUCGAUCCUCCGAGACCGCUACGGCUUCGUCGCCCCCCCGUCUCUCCUCCCUGAAAACCCUAAAGCUAUCCCCGGCGACCGCGGUGGAGACCAGGCCAAGAAGAAGAAGAAGAAGCCUCCAUACAGGCCGCCGUCGUCGCUUGACCGUGCGGGCCAGAAACCACUCCACUCCGACCUCCCCUUCGACUUCCGCUUCAGCUACACGGAGAGCAAGCCCAAUGUGAAGCCUAUCGGGCUCCGCGAGCCCAAGUAUUCUCCCUUCGGCCCCGGGCGCCUCAAUCGGCCAUGGACAGGGGUUUGCGCUCCGGCGGUUGAUCCUACUGUGAGGUCUGUGGAUGGGGAGGGACCGAGCAACGUGGAGUUGGAGGAGAAGUGGGAGAAGACGAGGGAGACGAUUCUUGGGGAGCCGCUCACACCGGCGGAGAGGGCGUUUCUGGUCGAAAAAUGCCAAAAGAAUCGGACCAAGCGCCAGGUUAAUUUGGGGAGAGAUGGCCUUACCCAUAACAUGUUGAAUGAUAUUCACAAUAACUGGAAGCAUGCUGAGGCUGUUAGAAUAAAGUGUCUUGGUGUGCCCACUGUUGAUAUGCAAAAUGUUUGCACACAGCUUGAGGAAAAGACUGGUGGUCUGAUCAUCCACAGGCAUGGUGGUCAGAUCAUUUUGUACAGAGGAAGACACUAUAAUCCCAAGAAAAAGCCUGUAAUACCAUUAAUGUUGUGGAAACCUCAUGAACCAGUUUAUCCAAGGUUGAUUAAAACAGUGAUUGAUGGACUAACCGUUGAGGAAACAAAGGAAAUGCGGAAAAGAGGACUUGCUGUUCCUGCCUUGACAAAGCUUGCUAAAAAUGGUUAUUAUGCUAGCCUUGUGCCGAUGGUCCGAGAUGCUUUUCUGACUGAUGAGCUAGUUCGAAUAGACUGCAAGGGCCUGAACAAAAGUGACUACAAGAAAAUAGGGGUUAAGCUUAGGAUGAUCAAAUGUGGUUGAGGGAUCAGACUAGAUGAUUAGUCGAGUGAUUUCUUGUUUGAUGCUGAUGAUUGCAUAGUGAUCAAGGGAUGAUUGGACUUGGUUCCUUGUGUUCUUGUCACUUUCGAGAAGGAGCAAAUUGUGGUUAGGAGGGGAAACAACUACAACAGUGUUGCCCACUGUAACUCCGAAGAAAAAUCAUUCUCUAUGGCUAAUGAAUCAGGCUUGGGUGCGGAGAAGAGCAAUGAUAGUAUUCCUGGUAAAAACACGGAUGGCUGUAUUCCUGAUCGAAGCUCAGAUAGCUAUACCAUCAAUCAAAGUUUAGAUGAUGAAUCAGUUGUUUCGGGAAUGUGGUUCCAGCCAAUUGCGUAAACAGGAUAUCUGAACUUUUGAUGCCCCUGGCCCACACAGUCAGUCAGUAAUUAAGAGCCAAAAGAAGGGUUUCAUGAUGGGGUCCUGUUGCUGCUCCUAUCCAUUCAUAUUUUCCAGAAUGACUGCCAUCGCUGAGAUCACCUCGGUGAAUGUGAGACACAAUGCUGUUUGAUUCCAGAUCCUGCCACAGUAAUGGAAGAGCAUCAGUCUCUUAAGAUUUGUCACGCAAGGGAAUGUCAUGACUCGAUGGUUGACUGGGAUGAAGAUGACUGAAAAGCCACUUCAGAAACUGAGGAUUUUACAUUUUGGCAUCUUCAGCAUUGGAACUACAUUGUAGUGGAUUCUUUCAGAAACAUUUCAUGAUGUAUGGUGCAGCUCAGCCAUCAAAGCUUUCUUCAGUACCAUGUUUAUAUUUGUAUUUAGGGUGAUACUGAACUUAAACAAUUUGACCAUAAUUUUUGUUGCCAAUUUUUUCAACUUCUUUGUUCAAUUCAAUGACAUAAUUUGAACAAAUAAGGGUUUGUCAUAUCCAUAAAGAAGGGGAUAUUGGAGCAA
Elaeis guineensis (African oil palm) is the source of this 2019-nucleotide RNA transcript. It is a transcript of the gene named CRS2-associated factor 1, mitochondrial, with no coding region annotated. The record is from RefSeq and is a predicted model, not a curated record. Lineage: Eukaryota; Viridiplantae; Streptophyta; Magnoliopsida; Arecales; Arecaceae.